GCAUCAGUGGUGUAGCGGUAACAUUGGGUCUUCCCACCAAUCACGUGAUAUGGCCUAGCUCCGGGUUCGACUCCCGGCUGAUGCA
Mycena polygramma is the source of this 85-nucleotide non-coding RNA. NCBI's taxonomy places the organism in Eukaryota, Fungi, Basidiomycota, Agaricomycetes, Agaricales, Mycenaceae. The record is from the annotation of a GenBank genome assembly.